Molecule: non-coding RNA, 25 nt
Filed under: Cricetulus griseus (Chinese hamster)
Lineage: Eukaryota; Metazoa; Chordata; Mammalia; Rodentia; Cricetidae
Source: RNAcentral
UCCUUCACUCAGGUGGUGCUGCUGA